This 424-nucleotide ribosomal RNA is filed under the name uncultured bacterium. Its description in RNAcentral is "partial 16S ribosomal RNA". It matches the Rfam family "Bacterial small subunit ribosomal RNA", at positions 359 to 775 of the family's 1533-position model. The record is from RNAcentral.
GAAUAUUGGACAAUGGGCGAAAGCCUGAUCCAGCCAUGCCGCGUGUGUGAAGAAGGUCUUCGGAUUGUACAGCACUUUAAGUUGGGAGGAAGGGCAGUAAGCGAAUACCUUGCUGUUUUGACGUUACCGACAGAAUAAGCACCGGCUAACUCUGUGCCAGCAGCCGCGGUAAUACCGAGGGUGCAAGCGUUAAGCGGAAUUACUGGGCGUAAAGCGAGGGAAGGGGGUUCGUUAAGUUGGAUGUGAAAUACCCGGGGUCAACCUGGGAACUGCAUCAAAAACUGGCGAGCUAGAGUAGGGCAGAGGGUGGUGGAAUUUCCUGUGUAGCGGUGAAAUGAGUAGAUAUAGGAAGGAACACCAGUGGCGAAGGCGACCACCUGGGCUCAUACUGACACUGAGGUGCGAAAGCGUGGGGAGCAAACAG